UUCCGGUUGAUCCUGCCGGACCCGACUGCUAUCAGAGUGGGACUAAGCCAUGCGAGUCAACAUAGCAAUAUGUGGCAUACGGCUCAGUAACACGUAGUCAACAUGCCCAGGGGACGUGGAUAACCUCGGGAAACUGAGGAUAAACCGCGAUAGGUCAUCACUUCUGGAAUGGGUAAUGACUUAAAUCUAUAUGGCCCCUGGAUUGGACUGCGGCCGAUCAGGCUGUUGGUGAGGUAAUGGCCCACCAAACCUGUAACCGGUACGGGCUCUGAGAGGAGGAGCCCGGAGAUGGGCACUGAGACAAGGGCCCAGGCCCUAUGGGGCGCAGCAGGCGCGAAACCUCUGCAAUAGGCGAAAGCCUGACAGGGUUACUCUGAGUGAUUUCCGUUAAGGAGAUCUUUUGGCGCCUCUAAAAAUGGUGCAGAAUAAGGGGUGGGCAAGUCUGGUGUCAGCCGCCGCGGUAAUACCAGCACCCCGAGUGGUCGGGACGUUUAUUGGGCCUAAAGCAUCCGUAGCCGGUUCUACAAGUCUUCCGUUAAAUCCACCUGCUUAACAGAUGGGCUGCGGAAGAUACUAUAGAGCUAGGAGGCGGGAGAGGCAAGCGGUACUCGAUGGGUAGGGGUAAAAUCCGUUGAUCCAUUGAAGACCACCAGUGGCGAAGGCGGCUUGCCAGAACGCGCUCGACGGUGAGGGAUGAAAGCUGGGGGAGCAAACCGGAUUAGAUACCCGGGUAGUCCCAGCUGUAAACGAUGCAGACUCGGUGAUGAGUUGGCUUAUUGCUAACUCAGUGCCGCAGGGAAGCCGUUAAGUUUGCCGCCUGGGGAGUACGGUCGCAAGACUGAAACUUAAAGGAAUUGGCGGGGGAGCA
This 868-nucleotide ribosomal RNA is filed under the name uncultured archaeon. Its description in RNAcentral is "bacterial SSU rRNA". It matches the Rfam family "Archaeal small subunit ribosomal RNA", at positions 1 to 878 of the family's 1478-position model. The record is from RNAcentral.